Molecule: long non-coding RNA, 536 nt
Filed under: Cricetulus griseus (Chinese hamster)
Lineage: Eukaryota; Metazoa; Chordata; Mammalia; Rodentia; Cricetidae
Description: lncRNA (ENSCGRG00000025513.1)
Source: RNAcentral
UCGCGAUCUCUGGGCCCGCGCUCGCUUCUUAGAGGACCCCCGGGUCCUAGCGCGUCGUUUCCCCGUACUGCUAUUUCCAAGUAAAGAAAACAGAAGACGCCAAAAGGGUACACUUCCCAUCGUACUGUUGCCAACCCAUCAUUAUGGAAAUCCCAGACAGGACUGACUGAUAUUCAAAAGGGGAGGUACACCCUGGGAAACAAUCACUAGAGUACAGAGAUGGAAGCUUCCAGAAGAUCUACAUGCUUCUGCAGGUGACAGAUGGCUGUGGGAGGGAUCCCACAUUGAAGCAUGACAAGUGUGACAUACAUGACUGCACAGAUGCUUCAGAUUCCUCCCAAAGGCUACUUUACACAGUGAGUUCCAAGUGUGCCAAUGAAUGCGUGCCAAUGAAGUACUGUAUGUUUGGUAAGGGAAUCUCUCAUCCCUUAUUGAAGAAGGAUAUUCCAAAGAAAUCCCUGCAUCCUGGUGUUCACUGCUGCCUUACUAUGGGUAAGAUACAGAAAGAAACAGAUUAUCCAUUAAUGCAUGGAUAA